RNAcentral lists this ribosomal RNA (586 nucleotides) under Tamarix hohenackeri. RNAcentral describes it as "partial ribosomal RNA". Lineage: Eukaryota; Viridiplantae; Streptophyta; Magnoliopsida; Caryophyllales; Tamaricaceae. The record is from RNAcentral.
UCGAAACCUGCCCAGCAGAACCACCGGCGCACUUGUCACCGAAACACGGGGGAUGCAGGCUGGUCCUGCUCCUCCUCUGCGGCGCGGUCGAGGCUCCUGCCGUGGCCCUCUACCGAGUAGGGGCACCGGCCGGAGAAUCGGCCCUCCGUCCCAACAUCAUCCGGCGCGGAAUGCGUCAAGGAAUAAGAAUGUGAAAACACGCCCUNCGUUCGUGCUCGAAUAUUCGACGGAACGGAGCGGCCGUGUGUCGUAUUAACAAGAAUCCCGUGAACCAUCGAGUCUUUGAACGCAAGUUGCGCCCGAAGCCAUUUGGUCGAGGGCACGUCUGCCUGGGCGUCACGCAACACGUCGCACCCAAUGCCUUUGCACUCACAACGGGUGCCUCGGCCGUCGGGGCGGAGAUUGGCCUCCCGUGCGCCUGCAGGCGCGCGGUUGGCCUAAAGAGGGAGAUCAUGGCGACGAGGGCCACGGCGUUAGGUGGUUGGUUGUCCCGGGCUUUAUCCCGGGCGCGGAUCACGCCGUGCGCCUUAGGCCGUCCGUGCUUCGGCUAGGGCCUUGAAGAAGCCGCUCGUACGGCUUUACGGAU